CUACGGGCGGCUCCAGUGGGGAAUAUUGCGCAAUGGGGGAAACCCUGACGCAGUUACGCCGUGUGAGUGAUGAAGGUUUUCGGAUCGUAAAGCUCUGUCAGACGGGAAGAAUAAGAACAGUAAAAAUAUUGCUGUUUGAUGACGGUACCGUCAGAGGAAGCACCGGCUAACUCCGUGCCAGCAGCCGCGGUAAUACGGAGGGUGCAAACGUUGUUCGGAAUUACUGGGCGUAAAGCGCAUGUAGGCGGAUAUGUAGGUCAGAUGUGAAAUCCCUUGGCUCAACCAAGGAAGUGCAUCUGAAACCCCAUAUCUUGAGUACGAGAGAGGGAAGUGGAAUUCCCAGUGUAGAGGUGAAAUUCAUAGAUAUUGGGAAGAACACCGGUGGCGAAGGCGGCUUUCUGGCUCGUAACUGACGCUGAGAUGCGAAAGCGUGGGGAGCAAACAGGAUUAGAUACCCGUGUAGUC
Molecule: ribosomal RNA, 465 nt
Filed under: uncultured bacterium
Lineage: Bacteria
Description: partial 16S ribosomal RNA
Rfam family: Bacterial small subunit ribosomal RNA
Source: RNAcentral